GCCUUUAAACGCAACAUGAGCGCUAAGACGCUCGCGCUGUGCGGCAGUGACGGAGACCUGCUGCUGCCUGGCAGAGCUACGAUGUGGGUUUGAAUCAUGGCAGCAAAACAGCAAAACGCAAAGAACUUUGCACAGUUUUCCCCCCACACUAACCGACGGAGUUGAGUGAAGGUGCUGGAUUCAGAGCUGCCAACUCCCAGCUCCGCCGUCGCUGAAACGCACAAGCAUCGUUUUGAUGGCCGGGUGUGCAAGAAUGCUACAUGCUCACGGUGUUGCUUCACACAUUUCAUGCCAAAAAAAAAAAAAGAAUCUGGGGCACGGAGCAGGACCGAAGAGGAGAGAGAGACGGAGGAAAUUCAAGUCUUCUUGAGCGGAGAGGACAGGACAGACUGUUGUCUGGAGCAUGAUUGACUUCCAUCCAAAGUGCCUAAUUUUGAUUGAAACACAAAGUGAGCUCAGUGACCGCCAAAGGACACCGGUCUAUCGAGGCAGUUUCAGAUCCGAGCGCUGACUUCAUCUUGGCAGGAAUCCCGGCCCACUGGUACCUCGGUUGUAUAACAAAGCGGCAGACAUUUCCGUGACCGCAGCUUCAUGCCCUUACGGAGAAGAACCGCUCGGACUCUUCUGUCACUUCACUGACCUCGUGUGAUGUACAGCUAUAAAAGAUUCUCUGUGAUGCACAGUUUGAACAUCUGAGCAGCAGAGUGGGAAAGCUGCAGCCGUGGCGCCGCAACGCUCAGAAGAAGACGUGCUAACUUUUGGAAGCACAACAGAACCAAAACAAAACACAAUGGAGGCGAGGCAGUUGCUCAAGGGGACAGUCGCUUGGUUGAAUCGGGCAGGUGUCACGAAGGAUGCGGAGGGGAACAGAAAGGGACGCCUGGCUGAAAGAUUUCUCUGCAUCUCGGCUGAGGCAGAAGUUGAUCACGCCCUGACAGACAUCACUAUCUAGGACAGACGACUUCUCCAUACCUCUUUCCCCGCUCUCUAUCUGCGGAUUCACUCCCUCUUUCAAGCCCCUGGACCAUGCCAAGGCAGUUUGACUAAGAACAUUAGGGUGUCACAGCUUGGGAUUUGGCUUUGGCAAUUCUAUUAGAGCGAAGCCUCUAAAGGCAGGCGCCUUCCUUUCCCCCAUACCUCUCCUCCUGGCGUCGCCGCUGCCAGCCAACAGAUGCAGGUUUUUACAUAUCAAAGCUGUUGCCUUGCCAGAGUCGUUCCUUCACGCCUCUAAUGCUCUUUGCUUCAGAGGACUGUACCUCGGCGCCUUGAUCAAGUUACUAAACGCGGCUUUGCACAUGGCUCACCACCAAAGGCGGGCGUCUCAUGCUGGGACCUGGAAAUGCAGCUGAGAAAAGCAUCUCAGAGGGAUUGGCUUGUGCUUACACAC
This is a non-coding RNA of Poecilia reticulata (guppy), 1387 nucleotides long. Lineage: Eukaryota; Metazoa; Chordata; Actinopteri; Cyprinodontiformes; Poeciliidae. The record is from RefSeq and is a predicted model, not a curated record.